Molecule: long non-coding RNA, 597 nt
Organism: Pipra filicauda (Wire-tailed manakin)
Lineage: Eukaryota; Metazoa; Chordata; Aves; Passeriformes; Pipridae
Exons: 2
Source: RefSeq, a predicted model, not a curated record
AGGGAGGUGUUUAACAGUCUGGAGAGCCAAAAGAGGUCAUCAGGGACCAAUUUUCUCAAGAUCCUCCCUCCUCCAGAAGACAAUUGUGUUUUGCGAGUUCUGAUCCAAAGAAAGGAAGGAAAAAUGAAGCACGGAUGAACAAGGCUGCGAUGAGAACACUGCUACAUCCCAGCUCGGAUCCGCGUCAGACGACUGCCUCCUGGCGUAACCGGCCGCGUCGCCACCUCCUGCGUCCAGGAACGGCACGGGGUUGUGCGUGGGAUGCCGGAACCACAAGAGGUUUUCAGAUUUCCAGGAUGCUGAACCGCGCUCCUGAACCACACGACCUGCUCUUGCAGUGAUUUUUCCUGCGCUCGGCAGCGACGCGGCGCUUCCUGCUUCGUUCGUAUCAGCCAAUACCUACAGAAUUUUAAUGAGCGUACAGUGAGUUGCCUAUAUAAGUCAGCACAUGGCAGAGUGUGUGCUGCUCCUCGUAACGAGGCAUAUAGAGCGCCUGGGGCUGUGGAGGCAAGAAGCCAAAGGAUGUUAUUAUUGCCCUUAUAAAUUGUUUUCAAAAUAAAUAAGAUACAGAAUGUUUCGCUUUGAAGGGGAAAAAUG